This 111-nucleotide ribosomal RNA is filed under the name uncultured bacterium. RNAcentral describes it as "partial 16S ribosomal RNA". It matches the Rfam family "Bacterial small subunit ribosomal RNA", at positions 1373 to 1482 of the family's 1533-position model. The record is from RNAcentral.
CCCGGGCCUUGUACACACCGCCCGUCACGCCAUGGAAGCUGGGGGGGACCCGAAGCCGGUGGCCUAACCGCAAGGAAGGAGCCGUCGAAGGUCAAAUCAGUGACUGGGGCG